CCUAGCUUUGGUUCCAAAGUUUCCAUGUCAAUAUUUAUCAGGGUAUGUGAGUCCACGCAAGGUUUAUAUGCUGAAGCCCUAACUCCUGAUGUGACUGUACUGGAGAUACUGUCUUUAAAGAGGUGAGUAAAGUUAAAUGAGGUCAUAAGGGUGGAGUCCUGAUCUCAUAGAACUGGUACCCUUAUCAGAAGAGGAAGACUUACACCAGAACUCUCUCUCUCCAUGAAGUGAGGCUACAACAUGAAGACAGGUGUUUGCAAACCACGAUGAGAGCUGUCACCAGAACCCAACCAUGCUGGCAUCUGAUCUCAGACUUCCAAUCUCCAGAACUAGACACCACAAACAUUUGUGCAGAUUGCAUACUGGACAAGAAAACCCAGUUGAGGGGAUACGGUGGCAGAAAUCCAGUCUUGUACAAGUAACCAAGCCAUGUUUCAUGGUGUAGGAAGGCAUUCAGCCGGAGAAAGGAUGAGAGUCUACAUGGAGAAGAAGCCAAGCAGCUCUGCUGACAGCCAGCACCAAAGCCCUGGACACAUUAGGAAGACUAAUUUGGGCCUUCUCACCCAGUUCAUCAUAGCUGCAUGAAUAAGCUCAGAUACAAGAAUUUCAACAAACUCCAAGCGUAAAAAGCAUGAAGAAAAUAACUCAAGACCACUGUCAUCAAAUUGCUCAAAACCUAUGAUAAAGAGAAAAAUCUUAAAAGCAGCCAGAGGAAAAAAAGACAUUUUACAUAUAGAGGAACAAAGAUUGGGUGACAGCAAAUUUCUUAAUAUAAAUAGUGGGGAAUGGAGUGGAAUAACAUAUGUAAAAGCACUAAAAGGAAAAAAAAU
This 830-nucleotide long non-coding RNA is filed under the name Equus caballus (horse). RNAcentral describes it as "lncRNA (ENSECAG00000052966.1)". Lineage: Eukaryota; Metazoa; Chordata; Mammalia; Perissodactyla; Equidae. The record is from RNAcentral.